ACGAACGCUGGCGGCGUGCCUAAUACAUGCAAGUCGCACGCUUCUUUCCUCCCGAGUGCUUGCACUCAAUUGGAAAGAGGAGUGGCGGACGGGUGAGUAACACGUGGGUAACCUACCCAUCAGAGGGGGAUAACACUUGGAAACAGGUGCUAAUACCGCAUAACAGUUUAUGCCGCAUGGCAUAAGAGUGAAAGGCGCUUUCGGGUGUCGUUGAUGGAUGGACCCGCGGUGCAUUAGCUGGUUGGUGAGGUAACGGCUCACCAAGGCCACGAUGCAUAGCCGACCUGAGAGGGUGAUCGGCCACACUGGGACUGAGACACGGCCCAGACUCCUACGGGAGGCAGCAGUAGGGAAUCUUCGGCAAUGGACGAAAGUCUGACCGAGCAACGCCGCGUGAGUGAAGAAGGUUUUCGGAUCGUAAAACUCUGUUGUUAGAGAAGAACAAGGACGUUAGUAACUGAACGUCCCCUGACGGUAUCUAACCAGAAAGCCACGGCUAACUACGUG
RNAcentral lists this ribosomal RNA (507 nucleotides) under uncultured bacterium. RNAcentral's name for it is "partial 16S ribosomal RNA". It matches the Rfam family "Bacterial small subunit ribosomal RNA", at positions 29 to 507 of the family's 1533-position model. The record is from RNAcentral.